UCGGCUUAGAGUUUGAUCAUGGCUCAGGACGAACGCUGGCGGCGUGCCUAAUACAUGCAAGUCGAGCGGAGGAGAAGCUUGCUUCUCUUAGCGGCGGACGGGUGAGUAACACGUAGGUAACCUGCCCAUAAGACUGGGAUAACAUUCGGAAACGAAUGCUAAUACCGGAUACGCGGUUGUCGCAUGACGAAUCGGGAAAGACGGUAAUGUCACUUAUGGAUGGACCUGCGGCGCAUUAGCUAGUUGGUGAGGUAACGGCUCACCAAGGCGACGAUGCGUAGCCGACCUGAGAGGGUGAUCGGCCACACUGGGACUGAGACACGGCCCAGACUCCUACGGGAGGCAGCAGUAGGGAAUCUUCCGCAAUGGACGAAAGUCUGACGGAGCAACGCCGCGUGAGUGAUGAAGGUUUUCGGAUCGUAAAGCUCUGUUGCCAGGGAAGAACGCUUGUGAGGUAACUCACGAGGUGACGGUACCUGAGAAGAAAGCCCCGGCUAACUACGUGCCAGCAGCCGCGGUAAUACGUAGGGGGCAAGCGUUGUCCGGAAUUAUUGGGCGUAAAGCGCGCGCAGCGGUCAAUUAAGUCUGGUGUUAAAGGCUGAGGCUCAACCUCAGUUCGCACUGGAAACUGGUUGACUUGAGUACAGAAGAGGAAAGUGGAAUUCCACGUGUAGCGGUGAAAUGCGUAGAGAUGUGGAGGAACACCAGUGGCGAAGGCGACUUUCUGGGCUGUAACUG
RNAcentral lists this ribosomal RNA (738 nucleotides) under uncultured Paenibacillus sp. RNAcentral describes it as "bacterial SSU rRNA". It matches the Rfam family "Bacterial small subunit ribosomal RNA", at positions 1 to 742 of the family's 1533-position model. The record is from RNAcentral. Lineage: Bacteria; Bacillati; Bacillota; Bacilli; Caryophanales; Paenibacillaceae.